CUGGGAUUAGAUACCCCACUAUGCUUAGCCCUAAACACAAAUAAUUACAGAAACAAAAUUAUUCGCCAGAGUACUACCGGCAACAGCCCGAAACUCAAAGGACUUGGCGGUGCUUUAUACCCUUCUAGAGGAGCCUGUUCUAUAAUCGAUAAACCCCGAUAAACCUCACCAAUCCUUGCUAAUACAGUCUAUAUACCGCCAUCUUCAGCAAACCCUAAAAAGGAACAAAAGUAAGCUCAAUCACAACACAUAAAGACGUUAGGUCAAGGUGUAACCCAUGGAAUGGGAAGAAAUGGGCUACAUUUUCUACCUUAAGAAAAUUAAUACGAAAGCCAUUAUGAAAUUAAUGACCAAAGGAGGAUUUAGUAGUAAACUAAGAAUAGAGUGCUUAGUUGAAUUAGGCCAUGAAGCACGCACACACCGCCCGUCACCCUCCUCAAGUAAAUACAAUGCACUCAAGCCUAUUAACACGCAUCAACUACAUGAGAGGAGAUAAGUCGUAACAAGGUAAGCAUACUG
RNAcentral lists this ribosomal RNA (519 nucleotides) under Capra hircus (goat). RNAcentral's name for it is "partial 12S ribosomal RNA". It matches the Rfam family "Bacterial small subunit ribosomal RNA", at positions 772 to 1507 of the family's 1533-position model. Lineage: Eukaryota; Metazoa; Chordata; Mammalia; Artiodactyla; Bovidae. The record is from RNAcentral.